Physeter macrocephalus (sperm whale) is the source of this 331-nucleotide long non-coding RNA. RefSeq lists it as uncharacterized. The transcript is spliced from 3 exons. NCBI's taxonomy places the organism in Eukaryota, Metazoa, Chordata, Mammalia, Artiodactyla, Physeteridae. The record is from RefSeq and is a predicted model, not a curated record.
GCUGUUAAUGGGUUUUUGAAAGAAAAUAAAGAUAAUGACAGACUUACUGGUGUCCACUGUAUCCAUGGUUUAAACAGGACUGGCUACCUCAUCUGCAGUUUUAUAGAAAUAAAACUAAAUAUAAGAAUGUAAGCCGGCCUUCCCUGGUGGCGCAGUGGUUACGAAUCCGCCUGCCAAUGCAGGGGAUACAGGUUCGAGCCCCGGUCCGGGAAGAUCCCACAUGCUGCGGAGCAACUAAGCCCGUGUGCCACGACUACUGAGCCUGCGCUCUAGAGCCCACGAGCCACAACUACUGAGCCCGCGUGCCACAACUACUGAAGCCUGUGUGCCU